GAUGAACGCUGGCGGCGUGCCUAAUACAUGCAAGUCGAGCGAACAGACGAGGAGCUUGCUCCGCUGACGUUAGCGGCGGACGGGUGAGUAACACGUGGAUAACCUACCUAUAAGACUGGGAUAACUUCGGGAAACCGGAGCUAAUACCGGAUAAUAUAUUGAACCGCAUGGUUCAAUAGUGAAAGACGGUUUUGCUGUUACUUAUAGAUGGAUCCGCGCCGCCUUAGCUAGUUGGUAAGGUAACGGCUUACCAAGGCAACGAUGCGUAGCCGACCUGAGAGGGUGAUCGGCCACACUGGAACUGAGACACGGUCCAGACUCCUACGGGAGGCAGCAGUAGGGAAUCUGCCGCAAUGGGCGAAAGCCUGACGGAGCAACGCCGCGUGAGUGAUGAAGGUCUUCGGAUCGUAAAACUCUGUUAUUAGGGAAGAACAAAUGUGUAAGUAACUAUGCACGUCUUGACGGUACCUAAUCAGAAAGCCACGGCUAACUACGUG
RNAcentral lists this ribosomal RNA (497 nucleotides) under uncultured bacterium. Its description in RNAcentral is "partial 16S ribosomal RNA". It matches the Rfam family "Bacterial small subunit ribosomal RNA", at positions 28 to 507 of the family's 1533-position model. The record is from RNAcentral.